GACGAACGCUGGCGGCGUGCUUAACACAUGCAAGUCGAGCGGUAAGGCCCUUUCGGGGGUACGACGAGCGGCGAACGGGUGAGUAACACGUGGGUGACCUGCCUUUAGCUCUGGGAUAAGCCUGGGAAACUGGGUCUAAUACCGGAUAUGACCCUAUGGCGCAUGUUGUGGGGUGGAAAGCCUUGUGCGGCUAGGGAUGGGCCCGCGGCCUAUCAGCUUGUUGGUGGGGUGAUGGCCUACCAAGGCGACGACGGGUAGCCGGCCUGAGAGGGCGACCGGCCACACUGGGACUGAGACACGGCCCAGACUCCUACGGGAGGCAGCAGUGGGGAAUCUUGCGCAAUGGGCGAAAGCCUGACGCAGCGACGCCGCGUGA
RNAcentral lists this ribosomal RNA (376 nucleotides) under uncultured bacterium. RNAcentral describes it as "bacterial SSU rRNA". It matches the Rfam family "Bacterial small subunit ribosomal RNA", at positions 28 to 404 of the family's 1533-position model. The record is from RNAcentral.